CCUACGGGAGGCAGCAGUGAGGAAUAUUGGUCAAUGGACGAGAGUCUGAACCAGCCAAGUAGCGUGAAGGAUGACUGCCCUAUGGGUUGUAAACUUCUUUUAUAUGGAAAUAAAAUGUUCCACGUGUGGGAUUUUGUAUGUACCAUAUGAAUAAGGAUCGGCUAACUCCGUGCCAGCAGCCGCGGUAAUACGGAGGAUCCGAGCGUUAUCCGGAUUUAUUGGGUUUAAAGGGAGCGUAGGUGGAUUGUUAAGUCAGUUGUGAAAGUUUGCGGCUCAACCGUAAAAUUGCAGUUGAAACUGGCAGUCUUGAGUACAGUAGAGGUGGGCGGAAUUCGUGGUGUAGCGGUGAAAUGCUUAGAUAUCACGAAGAACUCCGAUUGCGAAGGCAGUUCACUGGACUGCAACUGACACUGAGGCUCGAAAGUGUGGGUAUCAAACAGGAUUAGAUACCCGUGUAGUC
RNAcentral lists this ribosomal RNA (460 nucleotides) under uncultured bacterium. RNAcentral describes it as "partial 16S ribosomal RNA". It matches the Rfam family "Bacterial small subunit ribosomal RNA", at positions 338 to 795 of the family's 1533-position model. The record is from RNAcentral.